Molecule: ribosomal RNA, 250 nt
Filed under: uncultured bacterium
Lineage: Bacteria
Description: partial 16S ribosomal RNA
Rfam family: Bacterial small subunit ribosomal RNA
Source: RNAcentral
UACGUAGGUGGCAAGCGUUAUCCGGAUUUAUUGGGCUUAAAGGGUCCGUAGGCGGAUGUGUAAGUCAGUGGUGAAAUCUCGCAGCUUAACUGCGAAACUGCCAUUGAUACUGCAUGUCUUGAGUAAAUUUGAAGUGGCUGGAAUAAGUAGUGUAGCGGUGAAAUGCAUAGAUAUUACUUAGAACACCAAUUGCGAAGGCAGGUCACUAAGAUUUAACUGACGCUGACGGACGAAAGCGUGGGGAGCGAAC